UGUUUCCUACGGGAGGCAGCAGUGAGGAAUAUUGGUCAAUGGCCGAGAGGCUGAACCAGCCAAGUCGCGUGAGGGAUGACGGCCCUACGGGUUGUAAACCUCUUUUGUCGGGGAGCAAAGAGAGUCACGUGUGGCUCAUUGAGAGUACCCGAAGAAAAAGCAUCGGCUAACUCCGUGCCAGCAGCCGCGGUAAUACGGAGGAUGCGAGCGUUAUCCGGAUUUACUGGGUGUAAAGGGCGUGUAGGCGGGCUUGUAAGUCAGAAGUGAAAUCUGGGGGCUUAACCCCCAAACUGCUUUUGAAACUG
RNAcentral lists this ribosomal RNA (305 nucleotides) under uncultured bacterium. RNAcentral describes it as "bacterial SSU rRNA". It matches the Rfam family "Bacterial small subunit ribosomal RNA", at positions 333 to 635 of the family's 1533-position model. The record is from RNAcentral.